AUACGUAGGUGGCGAGCGUUGUCCGGAAUUAUUGGGCGUAAAGGGCACGCAGGCGGCUGUUUAAGUCCGGUGUGAAAGGUUGCGGCUUAACCGCAAACGGGCACCGGAAACUGAAGAGCUUGAGGGCAGAAGAGGGGAGCAGAAUUCCACGUGUAGCGGUGAAAUGCGUAGAGAUGUGGAAGAAUACCGGUGGCGAAAGCGGCUCUCUGGUCUGCACCUGACGCUGAGGUGCGAAAGCGUGGGGAGCGAACAGGAUUAGAUACCCUGGUAGUCCACGCCGUAAACGAUGAAUGCUAGGUGUUAGGGGGGUCCAACCCCUUAGUGCUGAAGGCAACCCAUUAAGCAUUCCGCCUGGGGAAUACGACCGCAAGGUUGAA
Molecule: ribosomal RNA, 377 nt
Filed under: uncultured bacterium
Lineage: Bacteria
Description: bacterial SSU rRNA
Rfam family: Bacterial small subunit ribosomal RNA
Source: RNAcentral